AGGUACGCGUGGCGGCGUGACCUAACACAUGCAAGUCGAACGGUUCUAAGCGCGAGCUUAGGAUAGUGGCGAACGGGUGAGUAAAAGGUAGAAUCUACCCCUUGGACGGAGAUAGCUACUGGAAACGGUAGGUAAACUUCGAUAAGCCCGAGGAGGGAAAGUGGUGAGACAGCCGAGGGAUGAGCCUACUCUCCAUCAGGUAGUUGGUGAGAUAAAAGCUUACCAAGCCGAUGACGGAUAACCGGUGUGAGAGCAUGAACGGUCACAAGGGCACUGAGAGACGGGCCCUACUCCUACGGGAGGCAGCAGUGGGGAAUCUUGGACAAUGGGCGAAAGCCUGAUCCAGCGACGCCGCGUGGAGGAAGAAGUCCUUCGGGAUGUAAACUUCUGAACUAGCCGAAUAAAAGGCCUGUGGACACACAGGAGAAGAAAGUAGGCUAGGAAAAGUCCCGGCUAACUACGUG
This 464-nucleotide ribosomal RNA is filed under the name uncultured bacterium. RNAcentral's name for it is "bacterial SSU rRNA". It matches the Rfam family "Bacterial small subunit ribosomal RNA", at positions 37 to 507 of the family's 1533-position model. The record is from RNAcentral.